Molecule: small RNA, 28 nt
Filed under: Bombyx mori (domestic silkworm)
Lineage: Eukaryota; Metazoa; Arthropoda; Insecta; Lepidoptera; Bombycidae
Description: piRNA piR-bmo-1891679
Source: RNAcentral
UCGGUGUGUGAAAACUAUGAUUUAUGUU